GUCGAGGGGCAGCGGGGUAGGAAGCUUGCUUUCUGCCGCCGGCGACCGGCGCACGGGUGAGUAACACGUAUGCAACCUGGCCGUGACAGAUGGAUAACCGGGAGAAAUCCCGCCUAAUACAACAUAAUGCCGGGAGGGGACAUCCCCUGCCGGCCAAAGGGGGCGACCCCGGUCACGGAUGGGCAUGCGGCGCAUUAGGUAGUUGGUGGGGCAACGGCCCACCAAGUCGACGAUGCGUAGGGGUUCUGAGAGGAAGGUCCCCCACAUUGGAACUGAGACACGGUCCAAACUCAUACGGGAGGCAGCAGUGAGGAAUAUUGGUCAAUGGCCGGAAGGCUGAACCAGCCAAGUCGCGUGAGGGAAUAAGGCCCUACGGGUCGUAAACCUCUUUUGCCAGGGAGCAAUGCCGUCCACGUGUGGACGGAAGGAGAGUACCUGGAGAAAAAGCAUCGGCUAACUCCGUGCCAGCAGCCGCGGUAAUACGGAGGAUGCGAGCGUUAUCCGGAUUUAUUGGGUUUAAAGGGUGCGUAGGCGGCCUGCCAAGUCAGCGGUAAAAUUGCGGGGCUCAACCCCGUACAGCCGUUGAAACUGCCGGGCUCGAGUGGGCGAGAAGUAUGCGGAAUGCGUGGUGUAGCGGUGAAAUGCAUAGAUAUCACGCAGAACCCCGAUUGCGAAGGCAGCAUACCGGCGCCCGACUGACGCUGAGGCACGAAAGUGCGGGGAUCAAACAGGAUUAGAUACCCUGGUAGUCCGCACAGUAAACGAUGAAUGCUAGCUGUCCGGGGGGAUUGACCCCUGGGUGGCACAGCGAACGCGUUAAGCAUUCCACCUGGGGAGUACGCCGGCAACGGUGAAACUCAAAGGAAUUGA
RNAcentral lists this ribosomal RNA (870 nucleotides) under uncultured bacterium. RNAcentral describes it as "bacterial SSU rRNA". It matches the Rfam family "Bacterial small subunit ribosomal RNA", at positions 61 to 913 of the family's 1533-position model. The record is from RNAcentral.